AUUGCUGGACAAAUCAUGUCACUGUGAGGUCCACCUUUGAGGUCUUCUAUGCUCAAGCUAUCCCCACUAUGGAACAUAGUCUCCUGCUGCCUGGGGAUCAAGGUGUUGAACUCGUAGCUCCUUCUCCAGUACCAUAUCAACCUGCAUGUUUCCAUGCUUCCUGCCAUGAUGAUAACGGACUAAACCUCUGAAACUGUCAGAGGACAACUACAAGCAGUUAGAUACCUCCUUGAAAAAUGGAACCCCCAAAUCAACUCAUGUUUUCCACCUAGACAAGUGUUUAGCCCUUCAAGAGGACCAGUAUUUGUUUUGUAGACUGUGAUGAUUCCAUUGAAUACUCAGUCAUGCAAGGAAGGGGAAAUUGACAGAUGAGUUCAAUAAACAGCAUUGUGCUGAUCUGGCUGAGUCUCCAAACAGAGACAGAAGGAAGCACAAAUGAACCAGGUAGGUGUGUAUCACCAACAAUGGGGGCUAAUCAAUGUAUCCCAAGUGAGAAGAGGACAGAGCAGGCGAAUAAUGAAGUGCGCAUGUUAGUCUGAAUGAGGAUCCGCCAACAAUGGCAUCAGCAGAAACUGGGUAAUUAUGCACAUGUGUGCGCUACAUAAUAAAAUCCAACACAAAGGUACAGAGAGGUACAUAAUAAUACCCGAUCUGAACACACCAGAACAAAUCAGAAUCCUGAAAGAAAAACAGCUAUGGGUAUGAGAGAUACCUCAACAGUUAAAAGGACUUGUGGCUCAUAUGGCAGCAUAUAUAUAUACAUAUAUACAUAUAUAUAUAUACACACACAUAGAUGUAUACAUGUAUAAAUGUAUAUAUAUGUGUGUGUUUUCAGUAUAUUUUUCAUUAAAAUAUUCUAAAACUUAUAAUAAAAUGCAUAUUAGAUAUUAUGAUGCAUUUGACAAACAAGCAACAUUUAUUGAAAGGUAAAGAUUUCCGGUAAUUGUAGUAUUCUUGAAUUAUUGUUCCCAAGUAGUAAAUGUUAAUCUCUCCAUGGACUAAUAAAGAAAUAUGUAUUUUGAGUUAUUUUUCUCACCAGAUUUUAGAUUUGCACUUCCCACACAGUUUCACCUAUCACCCUGUAUCCGCAGAUACAUUGCUGUAACAGAUCAUUAGGAGUCUGAUAGGGUUUUAUCGGUAGUUUUGAAGUCUUAGGGCUGUGUUCUAACUAAAGGAAUUAAGUACCAUAAAACAAGGACUAGAGCUCUGGCUGGCCACUGCCAGUCUGUAACAUCUUAGCUAGGAAGCUGGAAUAUAAAGUCUUAGCUUUGUUGUACAAGCCUUCUUCAUUUUAGGUCGGAGAGCUUCCCUCUCCUUUGAAUUUUCUCUCUCCUCCUACUGAGAUACCUUUUGAACCUUCUUUUAUCAAUUCAGUCAUCUGUGACCUUCUAAUGCGGAGAAUAUCACUGAAGAUAAUUUUGACAAGAGAAAUGAGGUGAUUCAGUUAUUGUCCUCACUUGCCAUAAAGGGCAGAGGUAAGUAGACAGAAUUUGGGGAAAUUUAAAAUAAGUAAUAGCAUUUCCUCUGGUUUAGAAGCAAGACAAGUAGAACAAAAAGAUUCAUGUACGUGGCAAACAGUAAUGCCUUAAAUGAAACUUUGACUGUGUUCAGAGAUUAGUGCCUGACAACGCUUCUGCAAAAUGGUUAACCUGCAUUUAUUUACCUUCUCAAAGAUCUUCAAUAGGUAAAUUCCCUAAGAAGGCUUCCAGGGGAUAAUUACACUGUGUUUAGAUAAAAAUAGAACAAAACUUUAAAUACCACGAAAUGAAAACAGGAGAAAAAAAUCUUGUUUGUUGUUUUUCUUUUGUUUUACUGUGCAUCAUGAUAAACAUUAUAUAAUCUAUUUUAUACAGGGAAAACUGAUAUUUCAAGAGUUAAUUACAAACUUCUAUAAGUGGGACUUAGUUUAAAAACAGGUGUGCUCUGCUAUAAACUCUGGUACUUUUCAUUUUAGAUUGUAAUUAAUACAAAAAUAGAACAGCAAAAUGCAAUCCUAUGUAUUGAUGUGCUAAGGGUUUUCUGUAUUACAUUGGAUGACCUUGCAAAGGUAAAUUUGAAGAUUCAAGCAAUUGGUUACCAACCAAAAACUCCUGUCUCUACCAGUAAAACUAAGUUUUCCCAAAAUUAAUUCAAGAUAUUCCACAGCCAUAAUCUUUAGCAUAGAUGAAAUAAGAAGUGAAACUAAGUGACUCCAAAUGUUACUGAAUAUGAAAUUAGAGGGACUUCUCCAAUUAGUAUGGUUAUUUCCUAUAUCCGAAGAUAAUGCAAAAUGUAACUGAUAAAAAUGUGUAUGUGUGUGUGUGUGUGUGUGUGUGUGUGUGUGUGUCUUUGUGUGGUGAAUGAAUGUAUGUGGCAUAUAUGAAUUGUGUUCUAUUGUGAGGGCUAUUAUGUUGUGUGUUUGCAUUUGUUGUAUGUAUAUGUGGUAUAUAUGUGCAUGAGCAUAUAUAUUUAUAUUUAUAUAUUCAUAUUUUAAAUUUGUAGAAGUAGGGUGGUGUGUUGUAUAUGGUUCAUGAGAGUGUGGGUGCAUGUGUGUAUAGAAUAUGUGUUUGUGAUAUAUGUAUAUGUUUGGUCCAUGUAUGUCCACGAGUAUAUAUGUAUAUGGCAUUUGCACGUUUGUGUAUAUGUGUGGGAUAAUGUGUGCGUGUGUGUGUGCGUGUGCAUGUGUGCGUGUGCAUGUGUGUGUGUGUGUGUGUGUGUUACAUAUAUCUCAUUCAUGUACGUUUCAUUUCAAUGCAAAGGCCAGAACAAAAUUUCAACUGUCUUGCUGUAUUACAACAUCAAACUAGUGUUUUGAGCUAUGAUUACUAUUGAACCACUAGCUCAUCAUUCUAUCUAGGCUGGUAGUUGAGAGAACUUUCAUGAUUCACAUGUCUCCACCUCACCUCUCAUUCUGGGAUUACAGACAUGUGCUGUCAUUUCUGGCCAUUUAGGUACUUUGAGUCCAAAUUUAUGUUCAUUUUCACUACUAUAAUGUAAGUGUUUUGUGUACUGAAUCAUGAUUUUUGCCCCUUAAGGGAGCUGUUUUCAUCUUACUAGUUAAUUUUACAAAUGUGUACAUGCUGGCAUGUGUGUGCACAUGCACAUGCACCAAUGCAUAUAUAAUUUUUGAUACACACAUAUAAUACUAAUGUUGAUAGUUUGUUCUUGAAAAACUUUUUCUAAAACUCUAGUUUUUAAAUAGCAUCCCAAAUCCUAAUUAUUUCCUGACCACUAGCUUUGUAUAUGACAGUCACACAGACAGACAGACGAGGAGGGAGAGAGAGAAGAAAGGAGGGAGGGAGGGAAGGAAGAAGAAAUAAAGGAAGAAACAAAGGAAGUAAGAGAAAAUUAUAAAAAUUUAGAAGCCAUACCUGAGAGUACAAAUAUCAACUCUUCUCCAGAGUGAGGGUAUAAUUUAUAAGCAAAACAAGCUAAAAAUUGCUUAGUCUAAUAAUAUUUAAGUACUUUUUCAUAAAAUUAAA
Non-coding RNA from Rattus norvegicus (Norway rat), 3461 nucleotides. NCBI's taxonomy places the organism in Eukaryota, Metazoa, Chordata, Mammalia, Rodentia, Muridae. The record is from RefSeq and is a predicted model, not a curated record.